RNAcentral lists this ribosomal RNA (198 nucleotides) under uncultured bacterium. RNAcentral describes it as "partial 16S ribosomal RNA". It matches the Rfam family "Bacterial small subunit ribosomal RNA", at positions 326 to 539 of the family's 1533-position model. The record is from RNAcentral.
ACGCUCGACACCUACGGGAUGCAGCAGUGGGGAAUAUUGCACAAUGGGGGAAACCCUGAUGCAGCGACGCCGCGUGAGCGAAGAAGUAUUUCGGUAUGUAAAGCUCUAUCAGCAGGGAAGAAACUGACGGUACCUGACUAAGAAGCACCGGCUAAAUACGUGUCAGCAGCCGCGGUAAUCUGAGCGGGCUGGCAAGGC